GUUCACUUUAGCUGAACAUAUACAAAAGUUGGAAUAAUACUGAGAUGAGCAUGAUCCCUGCAAAAGAAUGAUGAGCAAAUUCAUGAAGUAUUCCUUAUUUUG
Dromiciops gliroides (monito del monte) is the source of this 102-nucleotide small nuclear RNA. The record is from RefSeq and is a predicted model, not a curated record. Lineage: Eukaryota; Metazoa; Chordata; Mammalia; Microbiotheria; Microbiotheriidae.